RNAcentral lists this ribosomal RNA (253 nucleotides) under uncultured bacterium. RNAcentral describes it as "partial 16S ribosomal RNA". It matches the Rfam family "Bacterial small subunit ribosomal RNA", at positions 524 to 776 of the family's 1533-position model. The record is from RNAcentral.
UACGUAGGGGGCUAGCGUUGUCCGGAAUCAUUGGGCGUAAAGCGCGUGUAGGCGGCCCGGUAAGUCCGCUGUGAAAGUCGGGGGCUCAACCCUCGAAAGCCGGUGGAUACUGUCGGGCUAGAGUACGGAAGAGGCGAGUGGAAUUCCUGGUGUAGCGGUGAAAUGCGCAGAUAUCAGGAGGAACACCCGUUGCGAAGGCAGCUCGCUGGGACGUUACUGACGCUGAGACGCGAAAGCGUGGGGAGCAAACAGG